GAGGAAUUAGUUAAUAUAUAACAUCGCCUUGUCAAGACGAAAUGAUGGGUUAAACCCCCAUAUUCCUCU
This 69-nucleotide transfer RNA is filed under the name Hyalinobatrachium fleischmanni (northern glassfrog). Its description in RNAcentral is "tRNA-Asp". It matches the Rfam family "tRNA". Rfam says of the family: Transfer RNA (tRNA) molecules are approximately 80 nucleotides in length. Their secondary structure includes four short double-helical elements and three loops (D, anti-codon, and T loops). The record is from RNAcentral. Lineage: Eukaryota; Metazoa; Chordata; Amphibia; Anura; Centrolenidae.